GGGUGAGAAAGCUCCAUAUUCGACUUCUAAUCGGAAAGGGGGUGGGUAGCGCCACCCUCACCCC
Molecule: transfer RNA, 64 nt
Filed under: Bovicola ovis (sheep biting louse)
Lineage: Eukaryota; Metazoa; Arthropoda; Insecta; Psocodea; Bovicoliidae
Description: tRNA-Ser
Source: RNAcentral